GGUAAAAUGGCUGAAUUAUUAAGGCGAUAAAUUGUAAAUUUAUUUAUGAAAGUUUCUUUUACUAAUUU
This 68-nucleotide transfer RNA is filed under the name Dermacentor everestianus. RNAcentral describes it as "tRNA-Tyr". It matches the Rfam family "tRNA". Rfam says of the family: Transfer RNA (tRNA) molecules are approximately 80 nucleotides in length. Their secondary structure includes four short double-helical elements and three loops (D, anti-codon, and T loops). Lineage: Eukaryota; Metazoa; Arthropoda; Arachnida; Ixodida; Ixodidae. The record is from RNAcentral.